AGAGUUUGAUUCUGGCUCAGGAUGAACGCUAGCUACAGGCUUAACACAUGCACGUCGAGGGGCAGCAUGACCUAGCAAUAGGUUGAUGGCGACCGGCGCACGGGUGAGUAACACGUAUCCAACUACCGGUUAUUCCGGGAUAGCCUUUCGAAAGAAAGAUUAAUACCGGAUAGCAUAGCGAGAAGGCAUCUUCUUGUUAUUAAAGAAUUUCGAUGACCGAUGGGGAUGCGUUCCAUUAGUUUGUUGGCGGGGUAACGGCCCACCAAGACAUCGAUGGAUAGGGGUUCUGAGAGGAAGGUCCCCCACAUUGGAACUGAGACACGGUCCAAACUCCUACGGGAGGCAGCAGUGAGGAAUAUUGGUCAAUGGACGAGAGUCUGAACCAGCCAAGUAGCGUGAAAAGGAUGACUGCCCUAUGGGUUGUAAACUUCUUUUAUAUGGGAAUAAAGUGAGCCACGUGUGGCUUUUUGUAUGUACCAUACGAAUAAGGAUCGGCUAACUCCGUGCCAGCAGCAGC
RNAcentral lists this ribosomal RNA (517 nucleotides) under uncultured bacterium. RNAcentral describes it as "bacterial SSU rRNA". It matches the Rfam family "Bacterial small subunit ribosomal RNA", at positions 8 to 518 of the family's 1533-position model. The record is from RNAcentral.